RNAcentral lists this ribosomal RNA (253 nucleotides) under uncultured bacterium. RNAcentral's name for it is "partial 16S ribosomal RNA". It matches the Rfam family "Bacterial small subunit ribosomal RNA", at positions 524 to 776 of the family's 1533-position model. The record is from RNAcentral.
UACGUAGGGUGCGAGCGUUAAUCGGAAUUACUGGGCGUAAAGCGUGCGCAGGCGGUUUUGUAAGCCAGAUGUGAAAUCCUCGGGCUUAACCUGGGAAUGGCAUUUGGGACUGCAAGGCUGGAGUGUGGCAGUGGAGACUGGAAUUCCCGGUGUAGCAGUGAAAUGCGUAGAUAUCGGGAGGAAUACCGAUGGCGAAGGCAGGUCUCUGGGCUGACACUGACGCUCAUGCACGAAAGCGUGGGGAGCAAACAGG